GCCUGGGUGGCUCAGUCGGUUAAGCGUCCGACUUUGGCUCAGAUCACGAUCUCGCGGUCCGUGGGUUCGAGCCCCGCGUCGGGCU
Molecule: transfer RNA, 85 nt
Filed under: Felis catus (domestic cat)
Lineage: Eukaryota; Metazoa; Chordata; Mammalia; Carnivora; Felidae
Rfam family: tRNA
About the family: Transfer RNA (tRNA) molecules are approximately 80 nucleotides in length. Their secondary structure includes four short double-helical elements and three loops (D, anti-codon, and T loops).
Source: Rfam by way of RNAcentral